This 402-nucleotide ribosomal RNA is filed under the name uncultured Clostridium sp. RNAcentral describes it as "bacterial SSU rRNA". It matches the Rfam family "Bacterial small subunit ribosomal RNA", at positions 355 to 774 of the family's 1533-position model. The record is from RNAcentral. RNAcentral also lists the same sequence under 1 other name. Lineage: Bacteria; Bacillati; Bacillota; Clostridia; Eubacteriales; Clostridiaceae.
UGGGGAAUAUUGCACAAUGGGCGAAAGCCUGAUGCAGCAACGCCGCGUGAGUGAUGAAGGCCUUCGGGUUGUAAAGCUCUGUCUUUUGGGACGAUAAUGACGGUACCAAAGGAGGAAGCCACGGCUAACUACGUGCCAGCAGCCGCGGUAAUACGUAGGUGGCGAGCGUUGUCCGGAUUUACUGGGCGUAAAGGAUGCGUAGGCGGAUAUUUAAGUGAGAUGUGAAAUACCCGAGCUUAACUUGGGUGCUGCAUUUCAAACUGGAUAUCUAGAGUGUGGGAGAGGAGAAUGGAAUUCCUAGUGUAGCGGUGAAAUGCGUAGAGAUUAGGAAGAACACCAGUGGCGAAGGCGAUUCUCUGGACCAUAACUGACGCUGAGGCAUGAAAGCGUGGGUAGCAAACA